This 449-nucleotide ribosomal RNA is filed under the name uncultured bacterium. RNAcentral describes it as "partial 16S ribosomal RNA". It matches the Rfam family "Bacterial small subunit ribosomal RNA", at positions 29 to 523 of the family's 1533-position model. The record is from RNAcentral.
AGCGGACGCUGGCGGCAGGCUUAACACAUGCAAGUCGAACGCAUCCUUCGGGGUGAGUGGCAGACGGGUGAGUAACACGUGGGAACGUGCCCUUCAGUUCGGAAUAACUCAGGGAAACUUGAGCUAAUACCGGAUACGCCCUUCGGGGGAAAGAUUUAUCGCUGAAGGAUCGGCCCGCGUCUGAUUGGCUAGUUGGUGGGGUAAUGGCCUACCAAGGCGACGAUCAGUAGCUGGUCUGAGAGGAUGAUCAGCCACACUGGGACUGAGACACGGCCCAGACUCCUACGGGAGGCAGCAGUGGGGAAUAUUGGACAAUGGGCGAAAGCCUGAUCCAGCCAUGCCGCGUGAGUGAUGAAGGCCUUAGGGUUGUAAAGCUCUUUUUUCCGGGAAGAUAAUGACUGUACCGGAAGAAUAAGCCCCGGCUAACUUCGUGCCAGCCGCCGCCGUAA